AGUUCUGCCAGGAGACGCUCGUCCGCCCAAGUGGUGUGUUCAGGGCGCGCAUCUGGCCCCUUCAAGGGGAACUUGUUGCACUUUAUUGUGUGGCGCGAGAUCCUUGACUUUUACUUUGAGGAAAUAAGAGUGGUCCAAGCAAGCUCUCGUCGUGCAUAGCUCAGCAUGGAAUAAUAGCAUUGGACUUCGUUUCUACGCUGUUGGUUGCAAGAAGCGAGGUAAUGACGAAGAGGG
Molecule: ribosomal RNA, 234 nt
Filed under: uncultured eukaryote
Lineage: Eukaryota
Description: partial 18S ribosomal RNA
Rfam family: Eukaryotic small subunit ribosomal RNA (bases 73-234)
Source: RNAcentral